RNAcentral lists this unclassified non-coding RNA (231 nucleotides) under Hevea brasiliensis (rubber tree). Lineage: Eukaryota; Viridiplantae; Streptophyta; Magnoliopsida; Malpighiales; Euphorbiaceae. The record is from RNAcentral.
AAAAGAACAAGAACAAAAGUUAACCAAACAGUACUGACACAGAAGACUACUCCUUUAAGAUCAAGAUCCCUUUUGUUCUUCAAGAAAAAAGCCUUGAUCUUUGAUCAUUCAUUGGUCUUUUUUGAUCUUUUUCCGUUCAUAGUUCCUAAUGGUGAAGUCUGAGCAAAAGAUCCAAUCAGGGACAUCAAAGGCAAUGGCAAAAACAUCAUCAUCAGCAGCAGCAGCAGCAAC